RNAcentral lists this ribosomal RNA (497 nucleotides) under uncultured bacterium. RNAcentral describes it as "partial 16S ribosomal RNA". It matches the Rfam family "Bacterial small subunit ribosomal RNA", at positions 28 to 507 of the family's 1533-position model. The record is from RNAcentral.
GAUGAACGCUGGCGGCGUGCCUAAUACAUGCAAGUCGAGCGAACAGACGAGGAGCUUGCUCCUUCGACGUUAGCGGCGGACGGGUGAGUAACACGUAGGUAACCUACCUAUAAGACUGGGAUAACUUCGGGAAACCGGAGCUAAUACCGGAUAAUAUUUCGAACCGCAUGGUUCGAUAGUGAAAGAUGGCUUUGCUAUCACUUAUAGAUGGACCUGCGCCGUAUUAGCUAGUUGGUAAGGUAACGGCUUACCAAGGCAACGAUACGUAGCCGACCUGAGAGGGUGAUCGGCCACACUGGAACUGAGACACGGUCCAGACUCCUACGGGAGGCAGCAGUAGGGAAUCUUCCGCAAAGGGCGAAAGCCUGACGGAGCAACGCCGCGUGAGUGAUGAAGGUCUUCGGAUCGCAAAACUCUGUUAUUAGGGAAGAACAAACGUGUAAGUAACUGUGCACGUCUUGACGGUACCUAAUCAGAAAGCCACGGCUAACUACGUG